GCACUCGUAGCUUGGCUAACGCACGCCGAAACAAAACACUGAAAGGAUGCUGAGACGUCAGAGCAAACACACGAUUGGAAACAGACUGCCAAUGGCAGGUCUUACAUCUGACUCCAAACAAACAACAAACAAACGGGAAACCGAAUGCCAAUCGCUGGACUUACAUCAGACUCCAAACAAACAAACGCAAAUAGGAUACAGAAUGCCAAUCGCUGGUCUUAC
RNAcentral lists this long non-coding RNA (222 nucleotides) under Lathyrus oleraceus (garden pea). RNAcentral describes it as "Pisum sativum (pea) long non-coding RNA (PSAT_LNC037439)". Lineage: Eukaryota; Viridiplantae; Streptophyta; Magnoliopsida; Fabales; Fabaceae. The record is from RNAcentral.